UUCUUUCUUUCGUAGUACAUAGUUGCAUUUGCGUAUAUUUUUUUGAAAUUAAUAUUUUGAAUAUAUUUAAAAAAUUUAAUUUCAUCUUUUGAAAAUGGAGUAUGACGAAAAAAUCGAAUUAAUUAAAGAUAUUGUGAAAUGUAUGGAGGAAGCCAUACAAAUUGAUUCAGACGAUAGUGAAAAGGGUGAUAUAUGUUGGUUUUAAUAAAUAAAAUGUAUUUCUUAAUUGACAGAGCUAAUUAAUAUAUGUGAUAGAGUGGCCCAAAUACCUAUAAGGAAAAAGAAACGACAAUGGGUUAAAGUAAAGAGUAGACAAUGGGUUAAAGUAAAGUGAAAGGGAAUGAGAAAAAAA
Long non-coding RNA from Bactrocera neohumeralis, 352 nucleotides. RefSeq lists it as uncharacterized. The transcript is spliced from 2 exons. Lineage: Eukaryota; Metazoa; Arthropoda; Insecta; Diptera; Tephritidae. The record is from RefSeq and is a predicted model, not a curated record.